GCAGCAGCCGCGGUAAGACGGAGGGAGCAAGCGUUGUCCGGAUUUACUGGGCGUAAAGCGCGCGUAGGCGGCUUGUUAAGUCGGCUGUGAAAUCGCUGGGCUCAACCCAGCAAUUGCAGUCGAUACUGGCAGGCUCGAGUCCGGGAGAGGGAAGCGGAAUUCCUGGUGUAGCGGUGGAAUGCGUAGAUAUCAGGAAGAACACCGGUGGCGAAGGCGGCUUCCUGGACCGGUACUGACGCUGAGGCGCGAAAGCUAGGGGAGCGAACGGGAUUAGAUACCCCGGUAGUCCUAGCCGUAAACGAUGGCCACUAGGUGUUGCGGGUAUCGACCCCUGCAGUGCCGAAGCUAACGCAUUAAGUGGCCCGCCUGGGGAGUACGGCCGCAAGGUUGAAACUUAAAGGAAUUGGCGGGGGA
This 414-nucleotide ribosomal RNA is filed under the name uncultured bacterium. RNAcentral describes it as "bacterial SSU rRNA". It matches the Rfam family "Bacterial small subunit ribosomal RNA", at positions 508 to 920 of the family's 1533-position model. The record is from RNAcentral.